RNAcentral lists this ribosomal RNA (387 nucleotides) under Bryomyia apsectra. RNAcentral describes it as "partial 12S ribosomal RNA". Lineage: Eukaryota; Metazoa; Arthropoda; Insecta; Diptera; Cecidomyiidae. The record is from RNAcentral.
UAUUAUUUAAUUAAUUAAAUUCUUAAAGGUAGUAGUUUUUAUAAAUUGAAAUUUAAUAAAUUUGGCAGUAUUUUAUUCUAUUUAGAGGAAUUUGUUUUAUAAUUGAUAAUCCACAAUAAAUUUUACUUAAUUUAAUUAAUUUAUAUAUUGUUGUCAAAAAUUUAUCUUUAAAAAGAAUAAAAUUUUUAAAAUUUAUUUUAUUAAAAUAUGUCAAAUCAAAAUGUAGUUUAUAAUUAAGAAAAUAAUGAAUUACAAUAAAUUUAUUUAUAUGGAAUUUAAAUUGAAAUAUUUAAAAUAAAGUGGAUUUAAUAGUAAAUAUAAUAAAAUAAUUAUUUUGAAAUUAUUUUAAAAUAUGUACAUAUUGCCCGUCGCUUUCUUUUAGAAUAA